GAUAAGGUGGCUGAGGGUUAGGCAAUAGAUUGUAAAUCUAUUUACGAGAGUAAAUCUCUCUUAUCA
This 66-nucleotide transfer RNA is filed under the name Klapopteryx armillata. RNAcentral describes it as "tRNA-Tyr". It matches the Rfam family "tRNA". Rfam says of the family: Transfer RNA (tRNA) molecules are approximately 80 nucleotides in length. Their secondary structure includes four short double-helical elements and three loops (D, anti-codon, and T loops). The record is from RNAcentral. Lineage: Eukaryota; Metazoa; Arthropoda; Insecta; Plecoptera; Austroperlidae.